GCUGGGGGUGUGGAAGGAGAUCCUAAGGGGGAUGAGUCAUCUGAAUCCAGGUACCAUGUGGCUUCGUCCAUGCGGGACCUUCUCCUCCCAUUCUGGGCUUCCCCAGGCUUGGGGGAACUGGGACCCCAAGCCCAGCAUGCUCGCCGCUCUCCAUUGCUUGAGUCCUCCAGACGUCGGGGGGACUGGCGGCCCCAUGCCUGGCCUGGCUCUGCAGGCUCCAACUGGAUGGCUCGGAACCGGGGAAAGGUGGGCGAAUCCCCAGGCCCGACCUCGAAGACGUU
This 281-nucleotide long non-coding RNA is filed under the name Homo sapiens (human). Its description in RNAcentral is "LNC_000630". The record is from RNAcentral. Lineage: Eukaryota; Metazoa; Chordata; Mammalia; Primates; Hominidae.